RNAcentral lists this long non-coding RNA (495 nucleotides) under Setaria viridis. RNAcentral describes it as "long non-coding RNA (SVIR_LNC001499)". Lineage: Eukaryota; Viridiplantae; Streptophyta; Magnoliopsida; Poales; Poaceae. The record is from RNAcentral.
GGAGGCAUUGGGAAUAAGUUGCGAUAACACGAUGAGCUGCCUAGCCAAAGGAAUAGGCACAAGCAUUGUGCCAUACACCAGGGUUGGACAAGGGUUCGAGAAAGUGUAUCAGAUAUCCAAAUGAUGUUCAGGAUCUCCAUUUCUUUUGUGAAGGAAUUUUUACACUAAUUAAUCCCUUAAAAUAUUCGGAUGCAAGCGCUAACUGCAUCGCAAAUCAUCACGUAAGAACUAACUACACAGUAAACAUUACAACGUACAACUUCUCUGAUUUCCCUUCUUUUCAGUGGAGAUAAAUAAAUGUUUAUACAUUAGAGAACUAGGUCCGAUUCUAACUUAAUAAAAUAUGAAUAAGUACGAGAUCUCUAUCAAACCUUAAUAAAACCAACCUGAUACAUGUAUUCAAUUGGAUCCCCUUCAUGUAUUAUGGCACACCUAGGCUAGAGGCCCGGUGACAUAGAGAUAAGCCUGAUCAAUUAUUACUGUUACUGACCAAAG